CUCCAGUUCUCAGACUGAAACAGUGCAGAAAUACAAGAUUCUCUGUGGUGGCUCAAUUGCAGUGAAGAAUUGCCAGAAAUGGUUAACAGAAAACAGGCAUGAAUUGAAUUUUUGAAAAUGAGGGGUUGCAAGAAUGUUUUCUGAGAGUUGGGUACAAAACAAGUGUUUUUGAAAAGUUAUCUGC
This 184-nucleotide long non-coding RNA is filed under the name Anser brachyrhynchus (Pink-footed goose). Its description in RNAcentral is "lncRNA (ENSABRG00000020171.1)". Lineage: Eukaryota; Metazoa; Chordata; Aves; Anseriformes; Anatidae. The record is from RNAcentral.